Molecule: ribosomal RNA, 596 nt
Filed under: uncultured bacterium
Lineage: Bacteria
Description: bacterial SSU rRNA
Rfam family: Bacterial small subunit ribosomal RNA
Source: RNAcentral
GAGUUUGAUCCUGGCUCAGGACGAACGCUGGCGGCGUGCCUAACACAUGCAAGUCGAACGGGACUGAAACUGACACCAGAGAUUCAGCCGGAGGCGAGAGCCGAGGGAUGAGGAACUGGUGUUGGCUUCAGUUCAGUGGCGGACGGGUGAGUAACGCGUGAGGAACCUGCCUUUCAGAGGGGGAUAACGUCUGGAAACGGACGGUAAUACCGCAUGAUAUCUCCGGGUCACAUGGUCUGGAGAUCAAAGGAGCAAUCCGCUGAAAGAUGGACUCGCGUCCGAUUAGCCAGUUGGCGGGGCAACGGCCCACCAAAGCAACGAUAGGUAGCCGGACUGAGAGGUUGAACGGCCACAUUGGGACUGAGACACGGCCCAGACUCCUACGGGAGGCAGCAGUGAGGGAUAUUGCACAAUGGAGGAAACUCUGAUGCAGCAACGCCGCGUGAAGGAAGACGGUCUUCGGAUUGUAAACUUAUGUCCUCAGUGACGAUAAUGACGGUAGCUGAGGAGGAAGCUCCGGGUAACUACGUGCCAGCAGCCGCGGUAAUACGUAGGGAGCGAGCGUUGUCCGGAUUUACUGGGUGUAAAGGGUGCGU